Molecule: long non-coding RNA, 398 nt
Filed under: Manihot esculenta (cassava)
Lineage: Eukaryota; Viridiplantae; Streptophyta; Magnoliopsida; Malpighiales; Euphorbiaceae
Description: long non-coding RNA (MESC_LNC005945)
Source: RNAcentral
ACUUCAAUCUGUUAGUGAAGUCCGUUAGUGAUCAAUUGAAUUCUUGUAGUGUAGUAUAAUCGUAGUUUAUAUCUUGAAACUAUAAUAAUUUGCAUUGGGCUAACCAACACUCAUUAAUCAAACUAAAUUAUUGUGCCAUUCAUAAUGUUAUGUCUUCUAUCUCUAUAUAAAAUUACUAAACAAACCUAAAUAUUACAUCCUUUUACAUCAAAAAGAUUCCCAUAUUACUAUGUCUUUCUUCAAUGGCAACCAGUACUCCUGUGAAGAAAAGUAACAGCAAAUAGACUUUACUAGCAUCUCUAACAACUUUAGAAACCAUGUAUCAAAUUACCAGAGGCCUUCUGGAUCUGAAAGAUGAAAUCAAGAACUUUCUAAAGAGAAUAGUAAAAUAAUAUGGA